AUUGAACGCUGGCGGCAGGCCUAACACAUGCAAGUCGAGCGGAGCGGCGGACGGGUGAGUAAUGCCUAGGAAUCUGCCUGGUAGUGGGGGAUAACUUCCGGAAACGGGCGCUAAUACCGCAUACUAUCAGAUGAGCCUAGGUCGGAUUAGCUAGUUGGUGGGGUAAAGGCUUACCAAGGCGACGAUCCGUAGCUGGUCUGAGAGGAUGAUCAGCCACACUGGAACUGAGACACGGUCCAGACUCCUACGGGAGGCAGCAGUGGGGAAUAUUGGACAAUGGGCGAAAGCCUGAUCCAGCCAUGCCGCGUGUGUGAAGAAGGCCUUCGGAUUGUAAAGUACUUUCAGCUGGGAGGCGUUACCAACAGAAGAAGCACCGGCUAACUCCGUGCCAGCAGCCGCGGUAAUUC
Molecule: ribosomal RNA, 407 nt
Filed under: uncultured bacterium
Lineage: Bacteria
Description: partial 16S ribosomal RNA
Rfam family: Bacterial small subunit ribosomal RNA
Source: RNAcentral